AGCAGGAUGGGCUGGUCAGUGGGACAGCCUCUGUGCACAUUUUGUGGCAAGUAGGAGUGACACAUCAUUCCUGGGAGGCCCCAUGGUUCCUGCCAAACCCAACCCCAGAAUUCUCCCUGAGGUGGUUUUACCAAACCCAUAACCCAGAACUGCUAUUGUGGUUUGGGGGUCAGCACCCACCAGUGCCAGGGCACUACUGGGAGGCUGGGACCUGACCAAAGCCCAUGGUGUCUGUGGCCUGAGGACAGGGUGUCUUGGGGCCAUGAGGACAGGCCACCAAUGGCCGUUGGGUCAUAGGGCCUGAGCCCCAGUGUUUGUCCUUCCCUGGCUCCUUCUGGUUCAGUCCCAUCAGGGCUCUGGAUCCCAAGACGCAGCAUCCAAGGUUCCCUCCAGGAAUCCUGGUGGCUUGGCUUACUUUGUCAUGUUUCAUCUGAUAGCAAAAAUAUCAGAUCGGCUGCACAGAAAAAAUGGCUCAAAGUGCUUAAUGACCAGAAGAAAUCUAGGAGCAGCAAGAAGAUGCCUCAGCUGCUCUACAAGGGAGUCCCAUUUCAGGUGUGGGGCUGGGUAUGGUCAUUCCUGCUGGAUGUCUAGAAGGUGAAAAACAAGGACCUAGGAAAAUACCAGAUACAGCAUUUCCACCGUCAUCCAGAGCAGGACAAACACGCCAGGUGGUGUCAGGAGCCUAGGUCUCCAGCUGGAGGGAACGUCAACCCUGCAGUGGGAGCCCAUCAUGCAUCCUAGGCACAGAUGCUAAUGUAGGCACCGCAGAAGCACUGCUGACUGUUUGGUGGUUGCCGUUAGGGCAGUGAGCCUUUUGUCCAUUCUGAGAUUGGGCUGGUUUCUCCUCUUGGCCCUGCCCUACAGACCAUAAAGGAAAACAGCAAGAGGUCCCCAGCAAACAUCUACAGAUGGCCCUGGACAUCAGCCACAUUCGGAGAAACAUGUCAUGUUCUGGGAGGGCUAAGGCAUCGACCAUUUUGCACACCCUGGUCAGAAUGAAACAUUCCUUGGGAACUUGGGCCAUGAGAAGCAUCCUUCCUGAUCACCUGACUGUAGAAACAUCCUUAUCGCACCCUCCCGGGCAAAGGCCCAACAGCCUGACUGCAGGAACAUCCUUGCCAUAUCCUGCUGGGCAGCAAGCUCUACCGCCCAGACCCCUCCUUCCCAGUCCCAUGAUCACCCCAGCCUGUGAGAGGCAGUUGGUGCUGGCAGUAAGCUGGUUUCCUCCUCUGCAGGGUUUUGCUAGUAAUAAAGGUGUUGCUGUUGAAGCCGC
RNAcentral lists this long non-coding RNA (1273 nucleotides) under Pan troglodytes (chimpanzee). Its description in RNAcentral is "lincRNA". The record is from RNAcentral. Lineage: Eukaryota; Metazoa; Chordata; Mammalia; Primates; Hominidae.